Long non-coding RNA from Corythoichthys intestinalis (scribbled pipefish), 3704 nucleotides. RefSeq lists it as uncharacterized. NCBI's taxonomy places the organism in Eukaryota, Metazoa, Chordata, Actinopteri, Syngnathiformes, Syngnathidae. The transcript is spliced from 3 exons. The record is from RefSeq and is a predicted model, not a curated record.
CAAGAAGCUUUGCCCACCCACCAUUCUUAAAGGAUAAUGUGGACGAACGGGCAAGUUUUUACUCCAGACCACCAGACAGACAGUUGGCUACCCUUGCCUCCACUAGGCUACUGUGGAUGCUGCUGCAUGGAGGUGACAACAAGCCACAGACAGACCAACCAGGGAGCAUCUCCUUGACUUGAUUUAACCACAGCCAUCUCCCCGGUGCCUUUGCCUGACAUGCAGCUCCAAAUCAUCAAGGACUGAGGGAAUAUUGAUGUCUUCUUCAGGCAGUCAUCUUUGUAAAUCUCACUGGAACAGCACCAAACAAAAGUUCCAGCAUCAUCAUUGUGUCAAGAGUCAAGAAUCUGCAUUGGACAAAGUGUCAAGUCAAGAAUCUGCAUUGGACAAGGUGUACGCCCCACAGAAACUCUAACCAGCCUCUGGACCACAACUGGAAUCUUCCAUCAUGCUACGUUUGCUGUCAAGCCAGUAGACCGACAGCCGGUAUCCAGUGCUACCUAACACUCCUUUAACAUAGCGCUAUGGAUGUACUAAACAUUUUAUCGAUUUAUUCAUUGAAUUAGUAAUAUUAACAAUUGAUAUGCACGAAGUAGCUUGAUUUCAGUAGCUGUUCAUCUAUCUGUCCUAUUUUUUAGAAAGGAUAUGAAUAUUGCUGUUAUAGUUGGUGGACAUAAACAUGAAGACAUUUUCCUUCUACUUCCACUUCUCUUUAUGCCAGCAACACACUUUACUGAAGAGUCAGAAGUGGAUUUUUUUGGUACUGUGUUUAUUUUUUUUACACUUGAAUGUAGGAGUGGGAACCUCUUGGUACCUCAUGAUACGAUUUGCGAUACAAAGCUCACGAUAACGAUGAUCUGACGACAUGGCGAUACAACGAUUAUCGAUAAAUUGGUCAAGAAAUUAUUCUAGAAUAUUCUAGAAACAACUAAUGAACAGAAAAACAAGCUUCUGCUGUGAAAUGGAAUGAGUUUAUCACUAGUAGACGUCCAAUCCAUUUGAACUGGGAGGGUGGCAGCGAAUGAACAUUCGUUCAUUCGCUGCCAUCCCUCCCACUUCAAACGGAUUGAACGUCUAUGGUUGUCAUUGGCAGUAAAUGCCAGGCAAUGAUGUAAUCUUGGGCCAUUUAAGGUGAUUUACCUGUUGAUUUUCAGUUACUUCCUGUUGAUUUGGGGGUAUUUUAUGGGUCACUUCCUGUUUAUUUUGCGUUACAGAACAGGAAGUGACCUGGGAAUCAUCAAAUGAAUAGGCAGUGACUCAAACUCAACAGGAAAUGACCUGUAAAUGAACAGCAAGUGACCUGUAAGUGCCCCGAAAAUCGGACAGAAUGACUGCGAAUGCACUGGUUUCGAAUGAACGACCGUUCCCAGUCUAAAUGGAUUGGGCGUCGAGCACUGUCAAUGGCAGCCUUAGAGUUAACUGAGACACUAUUAUGGUGGAAGAAGUUGGUAGCAACUUGUUGGUUCCUUUUUUUUUUUUUUUUUUUUUUUACACAUUGACACCUUUUUAAAAUGAUAUCUUGAUUCUUGGUAGGAGCAUAUCGAUAACCUUUUGGGAUAGUAUCACGAUAUAUCAAUAUUUCGAUAUUUUUUGUCACACCCCUACUUCCCCUACUUGAAUGCCACGGAAAAUGUGACAGAGCAUAAUGGAUGACGUCAACACUUCCAUAUUCGUACCUUGAUUUGCAGAUGAAUUGACCUACAAUUUUUAGAUGUACAGCAGUCACACGACUGUUUUUUUUUUUUUUUUUGUCUUGAGCACAUUUUUUGAAUGGAAAGCUUAAGAUGGUGGCAGCAAACCACACAGCUAGCAGAAGCUUGGCAGAUAGCCCAAUUCUUCUAUAGAUAAGAUAAGUGCUUUGAGUUAGAAGUGUUGUCAAAUUGAAUUCAUAAGUCAAGGCUCCAUUAUACUAUAUGCUAAAAGUUACAUAAUUUAAGGAUGACCAGUUUUAUGAGAGCCUGAGCAUCAGGUAGCGUGAAGGCCCUCUUAAAGUGGUUGUUCUAUAUUUUUGUGGGGGGUUGGAACAACACAUUUCACAAGUAUGUUUAUCCUACUGUAAAAUGUUACUUGCCUGUACAGGUGAUCAAUGUUUCUUAUGGUAAAAAAAAAAAUAAUCCUGGAUCUUAUUUGUUUUUCUGCUAUUACCAAUGUGUUUUAAAAAAUAAAAUAAAAGUAAGCGCAUACCAUCAGUCGUGACUUUUUAGGGUUAAGGUUUUUUACUGGAAGUGAGGUGACUCACUUGUGUGAUACACCUGAAACAAGCCAAUUUGAGUUUUAGUUUAUAUACUAUUGCUCAGGAAAAUAACUUUUAAUUUGAUGUCUCAUUAUAGUUCUCAUUGGCAGGCAGUUAAAAAAAAGUUGCCAAUAAAUCAAAGUGCCCCGAGAGGUAAUGGCAAGGUCGCUCUUAAAAAAAGUCUCUAAAAGGAGGCUAGGAGAAGCAAAUGAUUGGAUAUAAGGGUUAUAAAAGUUCAUAUAUCCUUUGAGUCUUUCUUAAAUUUGGUCGCUAAGCUCAAAGAAGUUAGCAAAAUGAUGUCUGUGUGUGUCCGGCCAUCCUGUAAUCACAUGGCACGAUCACAGAGCGACGAUGGCCUGAGGCAGCAUGGAUACGUUCCAAAAAGAGUUCUUGAAAUUAGACUAACUUAAGGUUGUCGGGUUCAUCCACAUUUAAUGUGAAAAGGCUUGAUUGUCUUGAUGUAGCGCUCAUGGCUGUGUGCAAAUCACUGGAGAAAGCUUUGAAUGGCUGGCCUAUCCUAAAUGUGACUGUGCCUAAUGGUGGACUCAAUCAAUGAGAGAGACAGACAGAGUAAGGGAGUUUGCCUUGAAUGAUGAUGCAUAUACGUCCAAUGACAGUGUUGAAAUUAAUAAAACACCACCAACUUUUAAAGGGAUCCUCAGACUUAGACUUGUAGGCUCUAAUAAGCCACACAUUCUUUUUCUUUUACUAAAUUAUGUUAUUAGAAAUACAUAUAUUAUUGCCAUGGAUUUAAAAAUCUAUAAUGUUUAGAACAUUUUUUGACCUACGGAGGGCGCCAUUUUUACGCGCGCACUGCACGCUGGGGGUGAUGACGCAGUUGGCCUGGACUGGGAGAAAAGCUAUGCUAGCUAGCAAGUGAAGCUAGUAUGACGACUGGCAUGAUUUUGUCACAUUCUUCUGCUGGUCAGAUUGUGUUGUUACAGAGAUGUGGAAUGAGUUAUCAACGUUGUACCUGCAUCCAAGUCUAGCUCACCGACAGUGUCUUUAAAUCGAUCCUAGGCGGCUUGUGUUGACUUGCUGCCAUUUUACAGUUUGUAUAUCCUGUUGCCUCUCACUGCGGUUCUCCCCUUUUUAAAAAAAAAAAAUUUAAACCCCGAUGUACUGUAAUGUCCCUUUUUGUGAUUUCGCGUUUUUUUGUGUGUUCAAUAAAGCCUUGUACGCAAUCCCGGUGUUCUUGCUGUCUGAAGUGAGCCGCGUUUUUAAUUCCGUGGUCAAGCCAGCCGCACUUUCUUUUCUUUUUUUUUUUUAACCUGUCCUGUUCAGCUGUUUGACACAGAGAAUGGAAGUCUAAGUGCCCGGAUAGUCUGAACAGUUAUAAGGUUUCACAUUGAGAGUCUGACAUAUUCCCAUUGUGAUCAUUCAAAAUACCUUUUUAUUAUGACAGAGCAGCGAACAGGAAGGGAUUAUGGGGGGACAGAAGAAAAGAAACACAAGAGAAGAAAGAAACACA